GAUGAAGAACGUAGCGAAAUGCGAUAAGUAAUGUGAAUUGCAGAAUUCAGUGAAUCAUCGAAUCUUUGAACGCACCUUGCGCUCCUUGGUAUUCCGAGGAGCAUGCCUGUUUGAGUGUCAUGAAAUUCUCAACCUUUUCAGCUUUCUUUGUUGAUCAGGCUUGGAUGUGGGAGUAUGUGGGCUUCUCAGAAGUCGGCUCUCCUGAAAUGCAUUAGCGGGACCUUUGUUGCCUGGCUUUGGUGUGAUAAUUAUCUACGCCAUUGUGGUCAAGCAGCUUAAAAUGAGGUUUCAGCUUCUAACCGUCUCCCCUGAGACAACUUUUUGACAAUUUGACCUCAAAUCAGGUAGGACUACCCGCUGAACUUAAGCAUAUCAAUAAGCGGAGGA
Molecule: unclassified non-coding RNA, 387 nt
Filed under: soil metagenome
Description: partial contains 5.8S ribosomal RNA, internal transcribed spacer 2, and large subunit ribosomal RNA
Rfam family: 5.8S ribosomal RNA (bases 1-120)
Source: RNAcentral